UGGAGAGAGAAUGAGAAAGAGUGAAUGUUGUGGGAAGGAGGGAAUGGGGAUGGGGUGCCACAGCCUUCAAAGCCACCAGAAGCCUCUGAGAUAUCAGGCCAUGGUGGAGACCAGCUCCUACCUCUUGUCACCUCCUAUGCCUUUAAGAUGUGACCAGGCCAGGAAUGGGCUGAGCUCAAACUGCUCCCUGAAAUUGGGAACCCCCAAGCCAACACAAGCACCAGCUUCCAGCCAUACCCUGAGCUCCUGGCCACACCCUGGCCCCACGGCUGCUCCCCAUGCACACACCAAGGACUGGCCAAGCCCUUCCUUAGGGAGAAUGCAUGCCUGUCUCUGGAUGGCACCAGGAAUGAGACAAAGAGCAGGAAGAACACUGUGCUGAGAGGGCUGUGUAGAGCUGCAGCACUGUUUAAGCACCCAAGGGGAUGAUGGCACAAGUGCAAGUCAUCAGAUGUUCUGCUGUCAGAAGCAGGUAUGUAAGUCCAGCCUCAUGCCAGGGCAUCCUGGUGCCUUCAGCACCUGACAGCCUGCUCCCACUCCCUCCACGGCUCCCCCACAGCCAGCAGCUCUGGCAGCAGUGUGAAGACAGGCAGGGGAGCAGCAGACAGGUCUCAGGGUCCCAGAGGAUAGGGGGAACCUUCCAGCUCAUUCUGGGCUUCUCCACAUGACCUGGCAGCCAGACACAUCCCAUCUCAUGACCAGAACCCCAGGUGGAUCCCUUGGCCCACCUCCCCCUCCCCAGAUCCCUGCCUCAUUAGCUCAAUCGACAAUACAAUUAAGGAGUCGACAAGGAGAGGAACGUGUCAGAUUGAGACCAGCAGCUCAGUGCUGUUGCCAGAGCAACCAGCCAGGAGACAAACCCUUCCUGUUAAACAUUAAUCAUUGUUAAUUAUGACAUCACAGAUCCAUGUGGUUAAUUAUGACAUCACAGCUCCACACUGUUAAUUACAAUACCUCAGCAAAUACUGGGCAGGCUCUUUCAUCAUGGCCCUCCCUGCUCUACCUCCUCCCUGUCUGCCUUGUACCAGUGGGAAGUGAGUGCCAGGCUCUGUCAUUUCCCAGCACCUCCAUCCAUGCUGGACUGAACACCCGUGCUGAGGAUUAUGCCCCACACCAGGAGGGAAACCAAGAGGAGUCCUCAGUGGAGGACUGAGGCUUGCCACCAACAGGGCUGGGAAGUGGCAAAUGGGAGCCUCUCUGCAGUCAUCACUAUCCUAGCUGCCAGCAGAACUGCUUGUAAAUGGCAGUCCUCUGCCUCCUGAGCAGCAUCAUCCCACGGUCCUGCCGGCUGAGUGACGGCUGUUCCGGGAGGAUCGAGCAGUGGUAGCAGGAUGAGGGGUAGCCAGAAAGGAUCCACAGACACAGUGCACCCCACUGCUUCAUCCCACCUGGAUGGCAUAUUGGCUUACUCCAGGAAAAGAACCUGAGCCUCUACCCUCUCACCUUGGCAACCCUUUUGGCAGCUGGCACAGGUCGGCCCCUCCCCAGGUGACCCCUCCCAUGGAAAGCAGGAAAGAACCACUGCCCACUAACACGCACCGCCUUUGCUGCAGCAUCAGGGAGCACCUCGACACGGAAACUGCAUUUACUCUAAGUUAAAAAGGAUGUUGUGCACGCUGCAGCGAGGCGCUCGCUGAAGGGGACAGCAGCCACCGAGUGGGCGGCAGGAAGGCGGGAGAUGCUGUCCCACCUGACAGGACCUCGGCAGGGCAGUGGGUCAGCAGGGAGCCUCAGGGAAAAUCGAGAGCUGCAGGGGAUGAAAGGGAGUGGGCAGACCCUGAGCCUUGAAGACAAAUUAGGGUUUGCAAGGUAUUUGGUGGUAACCUGAAAAGAAGAAAUAAUCUGAUUUGGCCACACUGGUGGCCUGAGGUGACAUGGACAUGUUCCACCAUGGCUUCAUGACAGCUCAUGUCAUCUGUGGUCAUCUUGUGUCCCUCUAAGACCCGAGGGGACAGGAGUGACACCAACCCCCCAAGCAGUGCCCUUCCUACUCAGCACCUUUCCCCUGGCACCCCAGGAAAUGUUUUGGCUCAGAAGCUGUCAUGUAACCCCAUGACACAAAGCAAAGAAGCUCCUGAGGAGAGGAGCAGCAGCUCAGGAACAAGAAGACAGGGAUGAAGCUGACCUACACACUGCUCCAAGCCACCACCGUAGGAAAGCACUGCUGUCCUCACUCUCAUAGCCACCUUCCUUUCCCUUGCUCCAAGGGCAACAAUAAAUUGAGUCCUGUUUCCCUUCAGCCAGGCACUUUGUCACUGCUCUGUCACUUCUGAUCAUGUUCGAGCAGCCUCAGCUGGCAAAUUUGCCCAUUCAGUAGCCUUGCUCUCCUCUCCACAGGAGAAGGCUGGCUCUGGCAUGGCCACUCAGCCUGGCAAGGAUAAAUGUCUGGGGUGGGCAGGGCAAGAGAGCUACUGCUCUGGGACCAUGUGGGGUCAGUUCUGAUGGAGGGAUGUGGCAGGAACAUCCAGAUGUCCAAACAGGGAGGCCAGGAAGUCAGUGCAAGGGGCUCCAAGAGGGCAACCAAAGCCCUGUGGGAGGGCAAGCAGGGAUUCAGCUCUUAUCUCACAGGCAUAGGCUUCCAGCAGCUGCUACACCCACUUGUCCAUCCUCCACACACUUUGUUGUCUGCCCAUGAACCACUGCCUGUUCCUUGCAUCCACCUUCCCAAGGCUGGUCCUUACACCAGGAGCCAGUCCAACACCCUGAUCCAGCAUGGCUUUUCCCUCUGGCACAUUGUGAGGUAGCAGCCAUGCUGUUGAAACUCGCCCUUGACCUUGCUUGCUCAAGGAUGGCACAGGCAUACCACUGCACUCU
Non-coding RNA from Cyanistes caeruleus (blue tit), 2814 nucleotides. The record is from RefSeq and is a predicted model, not a curated record. NCBI's taxonomy places the organism in Eukaryota, Metazoa, Chordata, Aves, Passeriformes, Paridae.